Non-coding RNA from Pyramidobacter piscolens W5455, 38 nucleotides. Lineage: Bacteria; Thermotogati; Synergistota; Synergistia; Synergistales; Dethiosulfovibrionaceae. The record is from Rfam.
GGCACGUGCACUCGUUGCGGGUCAACGAUGGGCAAAGA